CUGGGAUAUGGGGAUAUGUACCCUCAGACUUGGUCAGGGAUGUUGGUAGGUGCAUUGUGCGCUUUGGCUGGUGUACUUACAAUAGCAAUGCCUGUUCCGGUCAUUGUUAACAAC
Non-coding RNA from Xenopus tropicalis (tropical clawed frog), 114 nucleotides. NCBI's taxonomy places the organism in Eukaryota, Metazoa, Chordata, Amphibia, Anura, Pipidae. The record is from Rfam.